CCCAGACAUCUUUGCUUAAGACAAAUCUUGUGAGAAUAGAGCAUGCAGCCGCUAGGUGGUGCUGUGGAUAGAGUUCCAGGCCUGGAAAUGCAGAGGACCUGGGUUUGAAUUUAGCCACUGCUUAGCUGUGCGACCCAGGGAAAGUCAUUUAACAGAGCUUUGAGUCACUUUGGGCUUCCAGUUUCCAGAGGGAAGACAGAAGAUGCCUACCUCAUCUCAAAUUGCUGGAGAAAAAGACAUUUGGAAUGCAUGAGAAGAUCUGGCAGUCUCUAUCAUGUCCCUACACUGGAGACUUUGGGUGUGAAUUCCAUGAACAGAACUGUUGAGGGGGAAGGACCCCUGCUGUCCUUUUAUCCUGGCUCAGAGAAAUGCGAACCAGUGUGUUUUUUUUGUUUUGUUUUGUUUUUGGUUCUUUUUCUUGAGUUUGUUUCUGUUUUGUUGUUAUUCUUUUUCUUUCUUAAUCUUGAGAUCCUGAGGUGAUCUCCAAUGAUAGGGAGUUUAAGAUAGAGACCUCUGAGCAAGAAUUACAGGACCGGAGGGACAGUCAGUCAAGAGGACAAGAAGCUCUGGGAAGCCAGGGUACUUGGGACUUGAGCCUUAAUGGGCCUCUGGACUUGGAACUAGAACUGUGCUCUAUAGGAAUUGAGCUAAACUGUGAAACUGAUCCUCUUCUCCCAGGGAUUGAGGUGGUACCAGUAGGAAAAGGAUUAUGCUGUGUAUUUAUGGGGGGGAGGAAAUGUAAAUGUUUGUAACUAAAUUUUUUGAAGUAUUCUUUUGUAAAACCUUUUUGUGUUAAAUAGAUAGUGGUAGUCUCUCGUUGACAGAGAAUGACUAUUGUCUUUGUGCAUUAUCAUCUAUUGAUGUACCCUCAUGUGGCUUUGAAGUCCAAAGACUGAGGCGCAGAGUUUGUGGCACAUGGGGCAUGGGACGCCAGUUGUUACGGGAGGUGCGGUUGUGGCUUGGUGUCAGCAUUCAUGCGCAGCAGCAAGAUGUCGACGUCGUUCAUCUUCAAAGGUGGCAGCGGCAUGGUGAAUGUGGGUUUGCCAGCUGCUUCUGUCAGAGGCAGCGAGUUCUAGUUGCUUUGGUGUAAUGCCAGCCCACUUCAAGUUUGACUUUAGCUGAUCCUUGAAUCUUUUCUUUGGUCGACCUUGUUUCCUGAGUCCAGCUGAUGGCUCACCAUAGAAUACCUGUCUUGGUAUUCGCUGUGGGUCCAUGCAGAUGACGUGUCCAGACCAUCGUAGCUGGGUUUUGAGGACCAUAACUUAGAUGUGAAGCUGUUGCAGGGGUUUUGUUUUUCAUGUUUUUUUUUUCAUAUUCCGUGAGGAUUAAGGGAGGUAGGAGAGAGAGAGUAGAGGGUUGUUAACCCUCUGGGAUCCUUUGGAAGACUAGUUGCCCCAAUGGAUCAUUUUAACCAUAACCAACUUAAAACUGUAAAGAUUUUAAAUUAAAGGUAUAUACAAUAUUGUAGUUUUCUAAAGGGAAAUUACAAUAAUUUGGGGAUAAAAGGGAAACAAAAAAGAAAAAGAAUAAAACCAAUGAUUACUACA
Monodelphis domestica (gray short-tailed opossum) is the source of this 1547-nucleotide long non-coding RNA. The record is from Ensembl. NCBI's taxonomy places the organism in Eukaryota, Metazoa, Chordata, Mammalia, Didelphimorphia, Didelphidae.